Molecule: non-coding RNA, 359 nt
Organism: Marinobacterium sp.
Lineage: Bacteria; Pseudomonadati; Pseudomonadota; Gammaproteobacteria; Oceanospirillales; Oceanospirillaceae
Rfam family: transfer-messenger RNA
About the family: Bacterial tmRNA, also known as 10Sa RNA or SsrA, is named for its dual tRNA and mRNA-like properties. Its role is to liberate the mRNA from a stalled ribosome.
Source: Rfam
GGGGGUGACUUGGCUUCGACGCUGAUUACGAACCCUUGGGUGCAUGCCGAGAACGUGAUGAUUCUCGUAAAUCCCUCAUCACACUAGUUAUAGUUGCUAACGACGAUAACUACGCUCUAGCUGCUUAAGUCAGCUAGCGCCGCACUCUAAGGUGUCUGUAACUCAGAGGUUCGCGGUGUCAUAUGAGACAGAAUCGCCCGGAUGCUUCGCCUUAAGCUGAACGGUUAAAACUAAAAAGGCUCGCCCACAGCACCCUGGCUCUCGGGUCGCGACGGGUUAAUUAAAUAGAGCAGCCUAAGCAUGUAGAUCUCGAGGCAGAGGAUUGGCGGACGCGGGUUCGAAACCCGCCACCUCCACCA